RNAcentral lists this ribosomal RNA (391 nucleotides) under uncultured bacterium. RNAcentral's name for it is "bacterial SSU rRNA". It matches the Rfam family "Bacterial small subunit ribosomal RNA", at positions 28 to 409 of the family's 1533-position model. The record is from RNAcentral.
GACGAACGCUGGCGGCGUGCCUAAUACAUGCAAGUCGAGCGGAUUUUUGGGAGCUUGCUCCCAAAAAUUAGCGGCGGACGGGUGAGUAACACGUGGGCAACCUGCCUAUAAGACUGGGAUAACUUCGGGAAACCGGAGCUAAUACCGGAUAAUUCACAUCUACUCAUGUAGAUGUGCUGAAAGACGGUUUACGCUGUCACUUAUAGAUGGGCCCGCGGCGCAUUAGCUAGUUGGUGAGGUAACGGCUCACCAAGGCCACGAUGCGUAGCCGACCUGAGAGGGUGAUCGGCCACACUGGGACUGAGACACGGCCCAGACUCCUACGGGAGGCAGCAGUAGGGAAUCUUCCGCAAUGGACGAAAGUCUGACGGAGCAACGCCGCGUGAGUGAU